UACGUAGGGCGCAAGCGUUGUCCGGAAUUAUUGGGCGUAAAGAGCUCGUAGGCGGUUUGUCGCGUCUGCUGUGAAAACUCGAGGCUCAACCUCGGGCUUGCAGUGGGUACGGGCAGACUAGAGUGCGGUAGGGGUGACUGGAAUUCCUGGUGUAGCGGUGGAAUGCGCAGAUAUCAGGAGGAACACCGGUGGCGAAGGCGGGUCUCUGGGCCGAUACUGACGCUGAGGAGCGAAAGCGUGGGGAGCAAACAGG
This 253-nucleotide ribosomal RNA is filed under the name uncultured bacterium. RNAcentral describes it as "partial 16S ribosomal RNA". It matches the Rfam family "Bacterial small subunit ribosomal RNA", at positions 524 to 776 of the family's 1533-position model. The record is from RNAcentral.